RNAcentral lists this ribosomal RNA (253 nucleotides) under uncultured bacterium. RNAcentral's name for it is "partial 16S ribosomal RNA". It matches the Rfam family "Bacterial small subunit ribosomal RNA", at positions 524 to 776 of the family's 1533-position model. The record is from RNAcentral.
UACGAAGGGAGCAAGCGUUGCUCGGAUUUAUUGGGCGUAAAGGGUGUGUAGGCGGUUUUGUAAGUUAGAUGUGAAAGCCCAGGGCUUAACCCUGGAAUUGCAUUUAAGACUGCAGAACUUGAAGUUCGAAGAGGUUAGCAGAAUUCCCAGUGUAGAGGUGAAAUUCGUAGAUAUUGGGAAGAAUACCAAUGGCGUAGGCAGCUAACUGGUCGACACUUGACGCUGAGGCACGAAAGCGUGGGGAGCAAACAGG